AUUGAACGCUGGCGGCAGGCCUAACACAUGCAAGUCGAGCGGAUGAAGGGAGCUCGCUCCUGGAUUCAGCGGCGGACGGGUGAGUAAUGCCUAGGAAUCUGCCUGGUAGUGGGGGAUAACGUCCGGAAACGGGCGCUAAUACCGCAUACGUCCUGAGGGAGAAAGUGGGGGAUCUUCGGACCUCACGCUAUCAGAUGAGCCUAGGUCGGAUUAGCUAGUUGGUGGGGUAAAGGCCUACCAAAGCGACGAUCCGUAACUGGUCUGAGAGGAUGAUCAGUCACACUGGAACUGAGACACGGUCCAGACUCCUACGGGAGGCAGCAGUGGGGAAUAUUGGACAAUGGGCGAAAGCCUGAUCCAGCCAUGCCGCGUGUGUGAAGAAGGUCUUCGGAUUGUAAAGCACUUUAAGUUGGGAGGAAGGGCAGUAAGUUAAUACCUUGCUGUUUUGACGUUACCAACAGAAUAAGCACCGGCUAACUUCGUG
This 484-nucleotide ribosomal RNA is filed under the name uncultured bacterium. RNAcentral's name for it is "partial 16S ribosomal RNA". It matches the Rfam family "Bacterial small subunit ribosomal RNA", at positions 30 to 507 of the family's 1533-position model. The record is from RNAcentral.